GACGAACGCUGGCGGCGUGCCUAACACAUGCAAGUCGAACGCUGACGGAGGAGCUUGCUUCUCCGGAGGAGUUGCGAACGGGUGAGUAACGCGUAGGUAACCUGCCUGGGAGCGGGGUAUAACUUAUGGAAGCGAUAGCUAAUACCGCAUAACAGUAGAUGUUGCAUGACAUUCGCGUAAAAGGUGCAAUUGCAUCACUACCAGAUGCACCUGCGUUUUAUUAGCUAGUUGGGGAGGUAACGGCUCACCAGCGCGACGAUACAUAAGCGACCUGAGAGGGUGAGCGGCCAAACUGGGACGGGAGCACGGCCCAGACUCCUACGGGUGGGAGCCGGAGGGGACCCUUGGCAAAGGACGGAAGGCUGAAUGAGGAACGACGGGGGAGUGAAGGAGGGAUUCGGGUCGGGAAAGUCAGUUGGAAGAGAAGGACGAGUAGCAGAGUGAAAAGUUCACAUUGUGACGGUACCUGAAGAGUAAGCGACGGCUAACUACGUG
Molecule: ribosomal RNA, 495 nt
Filed under: uncultured bacterium
Lineage: Bacteria
Description: partial 16S ribosomal RNA
Rfam family: Bacterial small subunit ribosomal RNA
Source: RNAcentral